GACGAACGCUGGCGGCGUGCCUAAUACAUGCAAGUCGAGCGGACGAAUCGAAAGCUUGCUUUUGAUUCGUUAGCGGCGGACGGGUGAGUAACACGUGGGCAACCUGCCCUGUAGACGGGGAUAACACCGAGAAAUCGGUGCUAAUACCGGAUAACACGAAAUGUCGCAUGACGUUUCGUUGAAAGACGGCGCAAGCUGUCGCUACAGGAUGGGCCCGCGGCGCAUUAGCUAGUUGGUGAGGUAACGGCUCACCAAGGCGACGAUGCGUAGCCGACCUGAGAGGGGGAUCGGCCACACUGGAACUGAGACACGGCCCAGACUCCUACGGGAGGCAGCAGUAGGGAAUCUUCCGCAAUGGACGAAAGUCUGACGGAGCAACGCCGCGUGAGCGAAGAAGGCCUUCGGGUCGUAAAGCUCUGUUGUUAGGGAAGAACAAGUAACGCAGUAACUGGCGUUACCGUGACGGUACCUAACGAGAAAGCCACGGCUAACUACGUG
This 498-nucleotide ribosomal RNA is filed under the name uncultured bacterium. RNAcentral describes it as "partial 16S ribosomal RNA". It matches the Rfam family "Bacterial small subunit ribosomal RNA", at positions 28 to 507 of the family's 1533-position model. The record is from RNAcentral.